This 489-nucleotide ribosomal RNA is filed under the name uncultured bacterium. Its description in RNAcentral is "partial 16S ribosomal RNA". It matches the Rfam family "Bacterial small subunit ribosomal RNA", at positions 28 to 507 of the family's 1533-position model. The record is from RNAcentral.
GACGAACGCUGGCGGCGUGCUUAACACAUGCAAGUCGAACGGUGAAGGGACCAGCUUGCUGGUUCUGGAUGAGUGGCGAACGGGUGAGUAACACGUGAGUAACCUGCCCCCUUCUUCUGGAUAACUGCAUGAAAGUGUGGCUAAUACGGGAUAUUCUGGGUCUGUCGCAUGGCGGGCCCGGGAAAGAUAUUGCUUCGGUGGGGGAUGGGCUCGCGGCCUAUCAGCUUGUUGGUGGGGUGAUGGCCUACCAAGGCGGGGACGGGUAGCCGGCCUGAGAGGGUGGACGGUCACACUGGGGCUGAGACACGGCCCAGACUCCUACGGGAGGCAGCAGUGGGGAAUAUUGCACAAUGGGCGCAAGCCUGAUGCAGCGACGCCGCGUGAGGGAUGGAGGCCUUCGGGUUGUAAACCUCUUUCGCCAGUGAAGCAGGCCUGCUCCUUGUGGGUGGGUUGACGGUAGCUGGAUAAGAAGCGCCGGCUAACUACGUG